CUCACUCCUCGGCCUUUUGGCCAAGAUCAAAUGUAGUAUCUGUUCUUAUCAGUAAAACAAAGAUAGCUAGCGACAUAAUUUAUGUGUGGGGGUCUUGGAAAGAGGCUGCUGUGAUGACACAGAUGCUACUGACUCAUGCCCAACUAUU
Molecule: small nuclear RNA, 148 nt
Filed under: Suricata suricatta (meerkat)
Lineage: Eukaryota; Metazoa; Chordata; Mammalia; Carnivora; Herpestidae
Description: U2 spliceosomal RNA (ENSSSUG00005004256.1)
Rfam family: U2 spliceosomal RNA
About the family: U2 is a small nuclear RNA (snRNA) component of the spliceosome (involved in pre-mRNA splicing).
Source: RNAcentral